Molecule: long non-coding RNA, 6281 nt
Filed under: Sus scrofa (pig)
Lineage: Eukaryota; Metazoa; Chordata; Mammalia; Artiodactyla; Suidae
Description: lncRNA (ENSSSCG00005014357.1)
Source: RNAcentral
GGGAAGUUAGAGAGACCUAAAAUUGCAUAUUCCUGAAAACCUUUGUUGCUGAAUGCAAGUUUGUGGGCCCCAUGCCCAGUGAGGCCAAAUGUUAGAGUCUGGAGCAAAGAAAGGUUUAUUACAGGGCCAAGCCAAGAGAAUGGAUGGCUCAUGCUCUAAAAACCCGAAACUCCCCAAUGGUUUGGGGGGAGAGUUUUUAUAGGCAGCAUUUGGGGUGAGGGUUGCAGGGCAUGUGACUUUCUUCUGAUUGGCUGAUGGUAAGAUAACAGAGCAGGGCUCCAAGAAUCUUGUGCUCAACCUGAAGUUACUGUCCUCCACCUGAGUGGGGACCUUAGUUCCUGCAGGAGAACUCAAAGAAAUGUUGGGAGUUCCCAUUGUGGCUCCGUGGUUAAGAAUCCAACAUAGUGUCAGUGAGGAUGCAGGUUCGAUCCCUGGUCUCGCUCAGUGGGUAAAGGAUCCGACAUUGCCGCAGGUUGUGACAUAGGUCACAGAGGCAGCUCAGAUCCAGUGUUGCUGUGGCUGUGGUGUAGGCCUCAGCUGCAGCUCCGAUUUGGACCCUAGCCCAGGAAUUUCCAUAUGGCAGGUGCCGCUGUAAAAAAAAAAAAAAAAAAAAAGAAGAAGAAGAAGAAAAAAAGCUAUAUUGAUAUGUGUAUCCCUUGAGGAGGAACCAGGACCUGCCCCAUGGCUGCCCUGUGGUCUCUUGACAGCUCCUCCCCUGCUUCUGCCUUCCCUCUCUUCCCUAAUGAGUAGCUAUUUGAAUCUUCCCUUUGGAACUCACGGAAGGAAUAGGAGACUGAAGCCUGUCUCCUGCAAAGAAUGGAGACGCAGAAAGGUCCUGCUUGGUUUCACUUUUUCUUGCUUAUGAGGGACACCCAGCUGUUGUUAGUUGGAAUGUCACCAUCCUGUAUCUCUAGAUCUUACAGGUGGCCUUUUAGACUUGUCAACGGAAGGCUGAAUCCAAACUUUAGUGGGAACGUUGGAAAUACCAUCUCAUGGGUGUGAGACAAACACUUAAAGAAGCAACUUGCGUGAAAAACAGAAUGUAGGAGGUGUUGAAAUAAGUUGUUGACCCACUGCCCUCUCUUCUCAUUACAAAACCAAGUAUUUAAUGCCUUCUGUGAUGAGUAUUCAAAGCAGAGAGGUGAUAAUAGAAGGAUUUCUUAGAAGUAGAGUGAAGCAGUCCUUUAUAUUUGGACAGUGAUUGCUGAGGGCUAUGGGUUUCUUUCAUGUGGGUAUUAAUUCACUGUCCUUCUUACUCAGUGGGGCAGACACAUCCAUCAUUUAAAUGAACAUAGAAAGUCAGAAAUGGGCCCUCCAUUAACAUAUCCUCAGGAGGCAGUGAGUGCUUCCCCACGGUUGCCUGAUGCGAUGCCUCCCUGGAGCCCAGCUGCCUGGCAGCGCCCCCCACCCUGAACCCCCGCCUGGUUCCCUGCCUUUGCCGUCCAUGUCCCGAGAGUCAUUCCCAGCAAGCUCUUCUUCUGAGCGCUCUCUCCCACCAAUGCCCCAUGGGGCCGAGUUAUUUAUUAGACGCUGCUGUGAACUUGAUGCGUGCCUUCCUGGAACGAGAAAUGACUCGUGUCUUUAGGGUGGGGAUCCGUUGAAACCCGGUUUAAUUAGCUAGAUGUCCGGGGGAAUGCCUUUAUGCCCCUCUCCUGGUUCCACCUACUUCGUCAAGGACACAAAAGUCCUGGAAAAGCACGGCGAUGGUGGGAAGAGGCGCUUCUCUGGGCUGCACAUACACCUUUCAAGGUGAUGUGCAGGAUUCUCCCCGCUGCCCAGACCUCCAGAGGCAUCCACGCAGCCGUUCCCUGUGAGGGCACCUCGGAAAUCAAGGCAAAAUUCUCCCCUGUUGAAAGCACACACCUCUCAGGUGGGACUCCAGCCUACCACCUUCUAACUGAAACCGCGCAAUUCGCCUCAAGACUGAGUAAAAAGCUCAGGUUCUUUAUGUCUCAGCAUAGAAGGAAUUCAGUGAGAGGCAAAGUGAUAGACAAGAGAUGGAAUGUGGGCCAUCUCAGAAGGCAGGAGGUCCCCAAAGUCUGGGGUGGUUAAUUUCUAUGUGCUGGUUCAUUCCAUAGGCCGAGUGGGAAGAUGAGUCCCACUGUUUUGGAGAAGGGACGGGGAUUUCAAAGAACUGGGCCACCACCUCCUUUUUGGCCUUUCAUGGUGGGCCUUGAAACUGUCCUGGCACCUGUGUGGGGGUCAUUUAGCCAGUAUAUUACAGUGAAUGCUUAACGAAGCUCAAGAUCCGCUGGAAGUUGAAUCUUCCACCAUCAGUUUGACUUUUCUUUGCAGGGGGCACAUCCACAACAUGUGGAAGUUCCUGGGCCAGGGAUCAAACCUGCACCACAGCCAUGACCCAAGCUGCUGCGGUGACAGUGCCAGAUCCUUAACCUGCUGUGCCACAAGGGAACUCCUAUGUGAUUCUUUUCAAGGUGGCACCCUGCCCCCUUCCCUCCUGUCUUGCUAUAGUAAUGCUCAUCCCUACCCCAGCCUUUCAUCCCCUCCACUCAAAGAGUGACACUUGUUUAAUGGUAAAGAAGAUUGUAUUCAAGACAGUUGCACUAGAAGUCACCUCGGUUGUAAUGGGGCGAGAGUCGAGAGAGGGAACUCAACUGCAAAUACAGCAGGACAGUGGGGAUGUAUAGCCAAGGAGCAGGGUGACAGGGUCGGUGGGUGGAAAAUGACUAAGAGGAGCCUCAAAGGAGGGAGGAUUCUUGCCGCACUGAGCUCACGGGAUUCUUGCUGAAGGCAGGCCAAGGACUUAGACCUCAAGGGUGUGAGAGGAGGAACUUGAUUAGGUGUGAAGGGUGGCGAAUUCUCUGACUUCACAACAUCCUUGCUCAAACUGGAUUCAGCAAGGAUGGACACAGAAGGCCAGGCCAAGGCCGGGUGAAGAGAGAGGCCCAGAGAACAGGACCAAACUUUGGUCAAGGAGAGAGUCUUUGUUAAAGGACCUCUGCCGACUGCCCUUGGCCCCAUGCCCAAGAUGGACCUAACUUCUAAUCCAGGAUGGGGUGGCAGCUUUCUUCAGAGAUGCCCCCAAACCGAAAGCUGUUUUUCUUCCCUAUGUGCCGCCCCCGCUCCCCCAGCACAACCUUCAGACCACAAAGAUGGGCUGGGAUGACGAUCUUUCUGUUCUUCCCCAAGGGGACUUGUGCCAAGACAAGGACAGUAAUUCGAACGCCCCUUGGCGAUCUUGUGUCAUUUCUCAUCUCUGACUCCCUCGGGGUCCGUGGAUGCUGUCAGAAUCCCUAGAACCCUAGUGCCGAGGGACUGAUAAGAAUCAGAGAGGAGAUGGCUUUGUUUUCUGGUUGUUUCCCUUCCUACCAUUGUUGUCUCCAGCCUCCUCAACACAGUUAAGUUCCAGAGUUACAACUUAAACUAAAGAAGAAAAAUUUGAAGGACUCUUUAAAAAAAAAAAAUCUAUUAAAGUAUAGUUGAUUUACAAUGUGGUACCAACUUCUGCUGUGCAGCAUAGUGACCCAGUCAUACAUAUAUAUACCUUCCUUUCCUUUAAAACGUUUUAUUUUUAAUUUUAAGGACUCUUAAUUUAACCUACUCGGCUUGCUCUCUUGCGAGUUUGCCAGAUCUGCUGCUUCUUACAUGAGGUUUGAUGGUCUUCACUCCCCCAAGGUGCCUGUGUCAUAGACACAUACGAAUGGGAUGGAACUGUCCCACCCAGCUCCAUCCCCUCCUACUGUGUCUAAGCUCCCAGCACCCAACAUUGGGGAAGGAAGUUCCCAAACACCUUCCUUUUCUCCUCAAGGCUGCUGACCGAGAGCAUGAGCUCCUGCCAAGCUCUCUCUACUCACCUGCUUUCUCUCUCUCUCCCUCGAGUCUAAUCCCUCUUUCAAGUUACGCCUCUGCAUAGGUCUUGGGCGGACAGCAGUCGCGGCUCCAGAAUCCAUAGAGAAGUUGAAAAGCUGUCCCUUUCCAUCCUGGGGACAGCCGUCCAGUUGGAAGGGGGCCAGGCAAUAUGUCUUAGAGCCAUUUACACAUCAGCUCUGCUAUGUUAUAGAUCAGGAGGGUCAGCCGUGCCUUUUAUCACACAAGACCCACAGGAGAUUGAGUAGAUGCCAGUUGUCUGUAUUAUAGAAGCGUGACUCUUCGAAAACAAUGGCAUUAAUUUGGGGCAGUGGGGGACAUGCCUGGAAGAUAGUGACCAUCAGUCGAGAAAACACACAGGCAAGGAGCCCUUUUUUUCAUCUGAAGUCUGCAAUCACUUCGUUUUAGGUAAGAGAUGUGUGCUUGCAAAAAAGGGCCUUUAAAGUCAUCUCUGCCCUUGAGUCCUCUUUAUCGGCUCUCUUCCCCAUGGCAGGAUUCAGCCUUGUGAGCUUCCAACUUAGUGAUGGAAGAAGGUUUGGGGUUCGGGGGGUCUAAGGCUCAUGCAAAGAGUCCCAUUCUAAACAACAGCAUUCACAGAAAGCCAAAGAGAGCUCAAAGUCAAUAGGAAAACCCAAAGUCCAAAUACUGGGAAAGUCAGACAUGAAUGACACCUGUGAUGGGGACCAAGGAGCCUCACAGCCAAGGGAUAUGGGCUCGUGUCUACACAGCCUGGCAAAACUACACGAGGGUCCUGGUUGGGAGCUUCUGUACCAUCCAGGCCUUGCAUCUAGAGAUCAUGGAUUGGCUUGGGGUGGAGGAGGGGAGUGCGGGUGUGUUCUGGGAGCAUUCUCGCUAGAACAGGUGGGCUCCCCUGAACUCUCACUGGCUUGUGCUCUCGACCCAGACACACACGCUGUCUGUCCCUGCACGGUGCGCUUUGGGUUGUCCACCUGGGACUGCCCUUAUUCUCUCACUCAUCCAUCUUAUAGUCUGGAAUUCAUUCAUUCGGUACAAAGUUACGGAGCUCUUAUUAUUUGCAGGCUUCAGGGUCAUAAUCAUAAGCCAAAAUAGGAGUUCCUGCUUCUUAAAGCGCUGAGAGAUUGGUGGGGGAGAGCGACGUUUACCCAUCAUCCCAGAAAUGAAUCCACAGUUGCAAACCGAGAUCAGUGCCCUGCCUGUGAAGACGUGAUGUGAGACGGUGAUAGGGAUGCUUUCCCUGCCCUGGGGACAGUGGGGUGGAGAUAUGCUGGGUAGUAGGAAUCCAUGAAGCAAAGGCACAGAACAGAAGGGAUUAUGUUCCAGGCUCAGGGAAUGAUCACCAGAGGUUCUAGAUGGGUGGUGGGGGUGGAAGGAAUAGCACAGCUUCCAUGAAUAGGAGGUCAGUGUUGUUGAAGGGAAGAGUGCUAGAGGAACUGUGGGUUCUGGAGCCCCAGAGGCACGGGUUCAAAGGUUGGCUCCACUGUGUCACUUUGGGCAAGUUAUUUAAACUUUAUGGAGUUUCCGUUAUGGCUCAGCAGGUUCAGAACCUGACAUAAGGACCGUGGGGAUGCAGGUUCAAUCCCCUGGCCUUGCUCAGUGCGUUAAGGAUCUGGCAUUGCUGUGGCUGUGGCUGUGGCAUAGGCCGACAGCUGCAGCACCAAUUUGACCCCUGGCCCAGGAACUUCCGUAUGCCACAGGUACGGCCAUAAAAAUACAGAAAAAUAUCUUUCUUAGCCUCUGACUUCCUCAUUUGUAAGUUAACAGCAGUACCAGCGUGGUGAUUAUGGUUAACGGCACUGUAUUAUAUAUCCUUGAAAGUCGCUGAGAGAGUAGAUCUUACAUAUUCUCAGCACAGAAAUGGUAAUGAUGGGAGGUGAUGGAGUUGUUGACACCCCCUGCUGUGGCAGUAAAUCCUUUCUCAUUAUAUACACGUAUCAAAUCCUCACAUUGUAUGCUUUUAAACAUACACGGUGCUAUAUGUCAAUCAUGUCUCAUUAAAGCUGGAAAAAAUAACGACAGUGCUCCUAGUCAUCUAGGCUGGUGAUUAGUAAUACCGGCCAGUAUUUGUCUGUGGCCUUUGAAGAGUGAGGCUGGGGACCAGAGGACCAAAGUAACUUUAAUAUGUAAUUAGAGGUAUGGUUCAUCAGAAAAAAAAAAUAUUGGUCUCAACCUGGAUGGUACCCUUACAUUUACAAUUGUAGUCUCGUUAGGAAAUUAAUAGCAAUGAUAUUUUUCCAAAAAUAAGAGUUAAGAGAUGGAUACAAAGUUAAGAUUUGGGGGGAUGUUGGGUUGGUGACUUGGUUGGGUGGUUGAUCCCCUUGGUUUUUGGUCUUUCCCGUGGUUGGAGGAGAAGCAUCAGUGGAAGCCAAGUGGAAGGGAGAACUUUGGAUGAAAGACGCCUUGGCUUGGUCAGUCUGCAUCCGGUGCUAGCCAUCUGCAGUAUCCUCAGGUCUCUCUCUGGUGGUUCAGACCCA